UGCCCAGAUAGCUCAGUCGGUAGAGCAGGGGAUUGAAAAUCCCCGUGUCGGCGGUUCGAUUCCGUCUCUGGGCACCAA
This 78-nucleotide transfer RNA is filed under the name Pseudomonas fluorescens A506. RNAcentral describes it as "tRNA-Phe". It matches the Rfam family "tRNA". From Rfam's summary of the family: Transfer RNA (tRNA) molecules are approximately 80 nucleotides in length. RNAcentral also lists the same sequence under 1 other name. The record is from RNAcentral. Lineage: Bacteria; Pseudomonadati; Pseudomonadota; Gammaproteobacteria; Pseudomonadales; Pseudomonadaceae.